GCUCCAUGCUGAAUCUCUGUUGAGAAGACCUGCCAUAGGAGAUUGCUUCCUUCGGGAUGUUGAGGGAUGCAGCCACUGCUUUGGCAGGUUUAACCGAGAGCUGCUGUUUCAUACUCACUCUGUGCCAUAAAGAACACUUGAUGAGUGCGGAGGUGAAUAACAGCUGCCCACAGAGGACUGGGGAAACAGCUACAACAACUGCUAUUAAGAGGUAGUUCAGGUGAGUGGCUGAUGGCAGGGAAGAGCAGAGCAUCUUUGAACUAC
Molecule: non-coding RNA, 264 nt
Organism: Tinamus guttatus (white-throated tinamou)
Lineage: Eukaryota; Metazoa; Chordata; Aves; Tinamiformes; Tinamidae
Source: RefSeq, a predicted model, not a curated record